RNAcentral lists this non-coding RNA (31 nucleotides) under Mus musculus (house mouse). The record is from RNAcentral. Lineage: Eukaryota; Metazoa; Chordata; Mammalia; Rodentia; Muridae.
UCCAGGAUGAAACCUGUCACACAGACAUCAC